Molecule: long non-coding RNA, 1426 nt
Filed under: Sus scrofa (pig)
Lineage: Eukaryota; Metazoa; Chordata; Mammalia; Artiodactyla; Suidae
Description: lncRNA (ENSSSCG00050046334.1)
Source: RNAcentral
AUGGAAAGGAAUUACCCAGGCCUGGCUACCAGUUUGGAACAUGAGAUGGGAAAACUAAGAGUGCAAUUCAUCAGAAUCCCCAACCACAGAGGUAUUAUGGGGAAAUAUCCAAUUUUGAUGUCUAUGAUCUGCCCAUUUCUCCCACCUCAAAGGAGGAGGAACCAGUUGGCUAGAUGGUCAUUGGCUAGACCAUCUGUCCUGGACCUGAGGAGUGCUGACCAGAAUAAGGAGGAGGAGGAGAAGGGAGCCCAGAAGCCACAAAGAGUGGGGAAAAAAGGCUGCGACGAUCCCAGAGGAGAGCAAAGAAGAGUGGGGAGUCCUGAGGAAGAAGGGAGUGGCUGGCGUAUUGAUCAAAGCAGAGCUGAUUGGAAGAAGGGGGGAGCUGGUACAAGUUGCCAGGAGCUAAUGGUCCAGAAGGAGGACUGAGGUGUGUUUGUAUUGCUUACCAAUGCAAAUCAUAGGCAAAUUAUUUUUUAGUUGGGUGACCCUGUUGGUGGGGCCUUUGUUUUUGUUUUUGUUGUUGAUUUGUUUGUUUUGUUUCUCAAGCUUAGGUAGUACUGUAUUUCACAGAAGAGAAAAAGUCACAGAAAUGUUAAAUAAUUUGCUCAAUGUCACACAGCUAAUAAGGAGCCUAGCCAGGAUCUGAACCAAAAGAGUCUGACUCCAAAGUCUAAGAUGUUAGCAACCAAACCAUUGCUGUUGAGUAAUGGUUACUCGUUUUUGUUUAUAUCACCAAGUCCAAACAGAGUUCAACUGUCCCAGCCACAAUUCAAAGGCAGAAGUGCCCAGAUGUUAGAGAUUAAUCCAGAUAGCAAAUGAUGUCUAGCUCAAAGAGUCUUGGAAAUCUUUGUUAAAUGUUUUGGUGGAAGAUUUUGUAAAAAAAAUAGACAAACAGGAACCUCAAUUAGAGUGGGUGGACCAGCAGGGGGAGCUCUCAUGUCCGGUGAUGGGGGCAGAGCCCAGUAGGGAGAAAGUCUCCUCUUCUUUCCUGGCAGGAACUCAGCCAAUGGAAAACCAUGGACUCUGUGUUACCCCAGCCUCCCAGCUUCCUUUACCCUCUAUGAGAGUGUCCUGUUACUGUUACUUUGUCGGAGUGGGGUAGGGGUGGGGGUGCGGGAACACUUGCACAUGGCUCACCAUAGUUGCAAACUCUGAACUGGGAUUCUCUGCUGAUCCCAAGUAAAGCUAUCUUUGGUGGAGAAAUAUCUGGCUAUCUAUUGGUUUCAGGUCAACAGAUCCAAACAUAAUCAAAGUUUAUUUAAAAGUCUCAAAUAGUUUCUUACAAACAAGAAAAGCCUCCAUCCUAAUCAAGUGGAUACAUAUUAAUGUCAAAUAGUCAUUUAAGGUAUUCUAUCUUAUUUGAACAGAUGUUAGAGAUUAAUCCAGAUAGCAAAUAAUGUCUAGCUCAAGGAGUCUUGGACAUCUU